This 105-nucleotide small nuclear RNA is filed under the name Fasciola hepatica (liver fluke). The record is from RNAcentral. Lineage: Eukaryota; Metazoa; Platyhelminthes; Trematoda; Plagiorchiida; Fasciolidae.
AGAAAUAUAGACCGUUUCACGAUUUUGCGUGUCAUCCUUGCGCAAGGGCCGUGCUAAUCUCCGUAUCGUUCCAGUUUUAGUAAAUGUACCGCCGAAACGUUGUGC